AAAGAGAUCAUUAGAGACUAUUUGAGUCUUAAUCCCUAGCAAUGGGAAUCGUUUAAGGGCCUUGCAUGAAAGGGUGGAGAGUGGAGUGCAGCCAAGGAUGACUUGCCGGCCUAAUCCAAGAGAUGGGUUUUGCACUGGUGGUGGUGUUGAACCCUAAUUUCAGGAUAGUUGGCAAGUUGUCCUUGGCUAUAUUUGGCUCUCUUCGUCUCAUGUAAGACCUAAAGGACGAUGGAAAGGGAAAAGCUAAGGAGUCACAGUUACUGUUAGAAGAGGGAGCGCAGCCAUCAAUCGACCUUGCAUGAAGAGGCAGGGAGUUUUAAGGCAGCCAAGGAUGUCUUGCCGGCGAGCAACCGUAAACUGGCGUGCCUGGAAUGAAAGUAGUGAUCGGCAAGUUGUCCUUGGCUACAUUGGACUCUCUUCUUCUCAUGUAAGACCCAGAUGAUGAGACAUCAAUACCGCAGCCAAGAUAAUAAGUUUUCUCAUUCCCUUAGUGUUUGCACCAUUUGAUUGUUUCUUUUGGAGAUAACCCAUAUUUUUAAUCUGUCUGAAGGCACUGCAUGAAUAGAGUUUCAUGAAGAUCAGAGUGAAUAAUGAUCAACAUACGUGGAAGGAUUAGUGAAGGAGAAGAAAGACAAUGGUUUGAGUUAUGAAAAGUGAAAAGGACAUGCACUGCAAGAUUCUACAGAAAACAUAAAAUUUAUGCUGCCAUUGAGUGUGAAAUAGUUGGUGUCUGCUACCAUCUCAGAGUCUUUUAGGACAUCAAUGAUUCAAAAUGUCGAAGGAGACUAAGAAAGCUUAGCCAUGUGAUUGACAAGACAAGAAUAACUUUCGACAAGGAUAAUGAGAGCAUUUUUAGCAACAUUCAUGGGCAAAAGGGCUUCUUCAUAGUGGGGGCAAUUGAGCUCUCUUUGUUUAGCUUUGUAUUAAUAUUGAUCGGAUUGAGCCUUUUUGCAAGGUUUCAUGUUAACUCAUAUAAAGCCAAAUGUGUGUUUAUUUACUUUAUAUGGGAUUACUGUAUCCCAUGGCUCAAUCAAACUCACCCC
Molecule: long non-coding RNA, 1043 nt
Organism: Macadamia integrifolia
Lineage: Eukaryota; Viridiplantae; Streptophyta; Magnoliopsida; Proteales; Proteaceae
Exons: 2
Source: RefSeq, a predicted model, not a curated record